GACGAACGCUGGCGGCGUGCUUAACACAUGCAAAUCGAACGGUAAGGCCCUUCGGGGUACACGAGUGGCGAACGGGUGAGUAACACGUGGGUGAUCUGCCCUGCACUUCGGGAUAAGCCUGGGAAACUGGGCCUAAUACCGGAUAGGACCCUGGGAUGCAUGUCCUGGGGUGGAAAGCUUUUGCGGUGUGGGCUGGGCCCGCGGCCUAUCAGCUUGUUGGUGGGGUGAUGGCCUACCAAGGCGACGACGGGGAGCCGGCCUAGGAGGGAGACCGGCCACGCUCGGACAGGGAUACGGGACAGAUUACGCCGGGAGGCAGCGGUGGGGAAGAUUGCACAAUGGGCGCAAGCGUGAUGCAGCUACGCCGCGUGAGGGAUGACGGCCUUCGGGUUGUAAACCUCUUUCAGCACCGACGAAGCGCAAGUGACGGUAGGUGCAGAAGAAGGACCGGCCAACUACGUGCCAGCCGCCGCGGUAA
This 478-nucleotide ribosomal RNA is filed under the name uncultured bacterium. Its description in RNAcentral is "partial 16S ribosomal RNA". It matches the Rfam family "Bacterial small subunit ribosomal RNA", at positions 28 to 523 of the family's 1533-position model. The record is from RNAcentral.